RNAcentral lists this transfer RNA (64 nucleotides) under Sanfilippodytes vilis. Its description in RNAcentral is "tRNA-Arg". The record is from RNAcentral. Lineage: Eukaryota; Metazoa; Arthropoda; Insecta; Coleoptera; Dytiscidae.
AAAUAAGAAGUAAAAAUUACAUUUAGUUUCGACCUAAAAAUUGAUAUAUAUAUAUCCUUAUUUA